Molecule: small RNA, 782 nt
Filed under: Pan troglodytes (chimpanzee)
Lineage: Eukaryota; Metazoa; Chordata; Mammalia; Primates; Hominidae
Description: retained intron
Source: RNAcentral
AACAGGCUGAAAGAAGUCCUAGCUGUAAAAUAUGUUCUGUAACAUAAGAGAAUGAUAUUUUGCAUCAAUUCUUAGGUGUGUCGUUUGGACUGGUGAUGAGCGGGUCUUCUUUUAUAAUCCCACCACUCGUCUUUCUAUGUGGGACCGACCUGAUGAUCUGAUUGGCAGGGCAGAUGUUGACAAAAUUAUUCAGGAGCCCCCUCAUAAAAAAGGAAUGGAGGAAUUGAAGAAACUAAGGCACCCAACUCCGACAAUGCUGUCGAUCCAAAAGUGGCAAUUCUCUAUGAGUGCAAUUAAAGAGGAACAAGAAUUAAUGGAAGAAAUUAAUGAAGAUGAGCCUGUUAAAGCAAAAAAACGGAAGUAAGUAAUACAUACAAUUUGAUUGAGGUAGAUUAUAUCUUUUAAAAGUCGAUUUGGUAAUAAUUUGUGAUUGGAAGGGACAGGUAAUGUGAAUGUUGUUAGGAGACAUGAUUGCUCUCUUAGGCCUGAUAGUAAUAGCUUUGUUUUUCAUUGUGGAAAAUGUGUCCCUUCUUUUGCUAGAUUUCUAGAAUAUUUGGGUAUUCAUAUAUGUAUUAUGAAGCCAAAUGAUACUUUUGGAAUUAAUUCUUUUUGGAAAUUUAUUAGGUCUCAAUUUUAUGAAAAGUUAGUUUCCUCCCUCAUUUAGACCCCAAUGGAUACCAUUCCAGAGAUCUCAUAAAAACAGACACAGACUUCUCCCUCUUUAUAUGGUUAUCUUACGACUUACCUAGUCCUUGAGUCUGGUCAUUACUCCUUGGUGAGGA